UGCAGUAGAACGCUGAAGAGAGGAGCUUGCUCUUCUUGGAUGAGUUGCGAACGGGUGAGUAACGCGUAGGUAACCUGCCUUGUAGCGGGGGAUAACUAUUGGAAACGAUAGCUAAUACCGCAUAACAAUGGAUGACACAUGUCAUUUAUUUGAAAGGGGCAAUUGCUCCACUACAAGAUGGACCUGCGUUGUAUUAGCUAGUAGGUGAGGUAACGGCUCACCUAGGCGACGAUACAUAGCCGACCUGAGAGGGUGAUCGGCCACACUGGGACUGAGACACGGCCCAGACUCCUACGGGAGGCAGCAGUAGGGAAUCUUCGGCAAUGGGGGCAACCCUGACCGAGCAACGCCGCGUGAGUGAAGAAGGUUUUCGGAUCGUAAAGCUCUGUUGUAAGUCAAGAACGAGUGUGAGAGUGGAAAGUUCACACUGUGACGGUAGCUUACCAGAAAGGGACGGCUAACUACGUGCCAGCAGCCGCGGUAAUACGUAGGUCCCGAGCGUUGUCCGGAUUUAUUGGGCGUAAAGCGAGCGCAGGCGGUUUGAUAAGUCUGAAGUUAAAGGCUGUGGCUCAACCAUAGUUCGCUUUGGAAACUGUCAAACUUGAGUGCAGAAGGGGAGAGUGGAAUUCCAUGUGUAGCGGUGAAAUGCGUAGAUAUAUGGAGGAACACCGGUGGCGAAAGCGGCUCUCUGGUCUGUAACUGACGCUGAGGCUCGAAAGCGUGGGGAGCGAACAGGAUUAGAUACCCUGGUAGUCCACGCCGUAAACGAUGAGUGCUAGGUGUUGGAUCCUUUCCGGGAUUCAGUGCCGCAGCUAACGCAUUAAGCACUCCGCCUGGGGAGUACGACCGCAAGGUUGAAACUCAAAGGAAUUGACGGGGGCCCGCACAAGCGGUGGAGCAUGUGGUUUAAUUCGAAGCAACGCGAAGAACCUUACCAGGUCUUGACAUCCCGAUGCUAUUUCUAGAGAUAGAAAGUUACUUCGGUACAUCGGUGACAGGUGGUGCAUGGUUGUCGUCAGCUCGUGUCGUGAGAUGUUGGGUUAAGUCCCGCAACGAGCGCAACCCCUAUUGUUAGUUGCCAUCAUUCAGUUGGGCACUCUAGCGAGACUGCCGGUAAUAAACCGGAGGAAGGUGGGGAUGACGUCAAAUCAUCAUGCCCCUUAUGACCUGGGCUACACACGUGCUACAAUGGUUGGUACAACGAGUUGCGAGUCGGUGACGGCAAGCUAAUCUCUUAAAGCCAAUCUCAGUUCGGAUUGUAGGCUGCAACUCGCCUACAUGAAGUCGGAAUCGCUAGUAAUCGCGGAUCAGCACGCCGCGGUGAAUACGUUCCCGGGCCUUGUACACACCGCCCGUCACACCACGAGAGUUUGUAACACCCGAAGUCGGUGAGGUAACCUUUGGAGCCAGCCGCCUAAGG
Molecule: ribosomal RNA, 1420 nt
Filed under: bacterium
Lineage: Bacteria
Description: bacterial SSU rRNA
Rfam family: Bacterial small subunit ribosomal RNA
Source: RNAcentral